GGACCUGUAGCCAAGCCUGGUGGUUCUAUUAUUUAUGAAAAUCGGGUAAAUAUGGCGUCGGACUUCUAAUCCGAAGAUCGCAGGUUCGAGUCCUGCCAGGUCCG
Molecule: transfer RNA, 104 nt
Filed under: marine sediment metagenome
Description: tRNA-Arg
Rfam family: tRNA
About the family: Transfer RNA (tRNA) molecules are approximately 80 nucleotides in length. Their secondary structure includes four short double-helical elements and three loops (D, anti-codon, and T loops).
Source: RNAcentral